UUCUAUGUAUAUACCUACUUUCGGCUCUUUUUCUACCCAAAUCUAUUACAAAAUCCAAAUCCCACUACAUUCUUACUACCUCCCUUUUCUCUUCAAGAAAGACAACUUUUGUCAAAACUGUGUUCUCAAACAAAGAUUGAAGUUAGAAAGAAAUAAGAAUAAAAAAUAUAUAUACCGAUAAAUAGUACCUCAUGUUCCAAGAGAAGUAAAAACUUCUAAAUUUAGCAAGCUUGCUAAAAAUCAAUACAACCUGCAAAAUAUUACUAAAAUUUUGUUCAAACUUAUAUCGCAUUAGUACAAUAUCAUUCAAACAACAAUAUCUAAUUUAAAUAAUACCUUUGCUACUAAAAUUUCUUCAUGCUUGUAAAUAUCAAUAUUGAUCCAAUUUCAAAAAGCUGAAUUUCUCAUCUUUUACCCUUGUCUUUAGCUUACAUGACUUGUGAGUUGUACAUUACAAAAAUUCACUCAACCUUUCCAAACCAUACUCCAUGCCUUACAUUUAUAGUAAGUUCUACAUUACAAAAUUUUCACUUGGCACAACCCAUAUAGAGACAUACAAAGAAAUAUCAAUACAUAUUCAAAA
Molecule: long non-coding RNA, 583 nt
Filed under: Panax ginseng (ginseng)
Lineage: Eukaryota; Viridiplantae; Streptophyta; Magnoliopsida; Apiales; Araliaceae
Description: long non-coding RNA (PGIN_LNC014646)
Source: RNAcentral